RNAcentral lists this ribosomal RNA (803 nucleotides) under uncultured bacterium. Its description in RNAcentral is "bacterial SSU rRNA". It matches the Rfam family "Bacterial small subunit ribosomal RNA", at positions 8 to 811 of the family's 1533-position model. The record is from RNAcentral.
AGAGUUUGAUCCUGGCUCAGGAUGAACGCUGGCGGCGUGCUUAACACAUGCAAGUCGAACGAAGCACUUAAGAUUGAUUCUUCGGAUGACGUCUUUUGCGACUUAGUGGCGGACGGGUGAGUAACGCGUGGGUAACCUGCCUCACACAGGGGGAUAACAGUUAGAAAUGACUGCUAAUACCGCAUAACCCGAUAGGAUCGCAUGAUCCAGACGGAAAAGAUUUAUCGGUGUGAGAUGGACCCGCGUCUGAUUAGCUAGUUGGUGAGGUAACGGCCCACCAAGGCGACGAUCAGUAGCCGGCCUGAGAGGGUGAACGGCCACAUUGGGACUGAGACACGGCCCAAACUCCUACGGGAGGCAGCAGUGGGGAAUAUUGCACAAUGGGGGAAACCCUGAUGCAGCGACGCCGCGUGAGUGAAGAAGUAUUUCGGUAUGUAAAGCUCUAUCAGCAGGGAAGAAAAUGACGGUACCUGACUAAGAAGCCCCGGCUAACUACGUGCCAGCAGCCGCGGUAAUACGUAGGGGGCAAGCGUUAUCCGGAUUUACUGGGUGUAAAGGGAGCGUAGACGGCACGGCAAGCCAGAUGUGAAAGCCCGGGGCUCAACCCCGGGACUGCAUCUGGAACUGCUGAGCUAGAGUGUCGGAGAGGCAAGUGGAAUUCCUAGUGUAGCGGUGAAAUGCGUAGAUAUUAGGAGGAACACCAGUGGCGAAGGCGGCUUGCUGGACGAUGACUGACGUUGAGGCUCGAAAGCGUGGGGAGCAAACAGGAUUAGAUACCCUGGUAGUCCACGCCGUAAACGAUG